ACGUAGGACGCAAGCGUUAUCCGGAGUUACUGGGCGUAAAGGGCAGGCAGGCGGGCUGAUAAGUCGGAUGUGAAAUCUCCCUGGCUUAACCGGGAGGGUGCAUUUGAGACUGUCAGCCUGGAGGGCAGCAGAGGAGCGUGGAAUUCCGGGUGGAGUGGUGAAAUGCGUAGAUAUCGGAAGGAACAUCAGUGGCGAAAGCGACUUCCUGGACCAAUACUGACGCUCAUGUGCGAAAGCGUGGGGAGCAAACAGGA
This 254-nucleotide ribosomal RNA is filed under the name uncultured prokaryote. RNAcentral's name for it is "partial 16S ribosomal RNA". It matches the Rfam family "Bacterial small subunit ribosomal RNA", at positions 525 to 777 of the family's 1533-position model. The record is from RNAcentral.